GCAAAUACAAAAACCAAAAGAAAGAGACGGACAAGAUCUCAUUUACAUGAAUACUACUUCGUUCGUUCACGACUAGAAGAACCUCACAGAUAUUAACAGCCAUAGACAAGAAGACAACGACGAAUUGUGAUGACAUCCAAAGCCGGCAAGGCUGAUAUUAUAAAAUACACAAUAACAGCGCCACAAGGUGAAGAUUAGAAAAGAUUGUACCCGGAUAAUAAAGCAGCAACUAUAAACACCAGAAAUUUUCUUUCAUUCUCAUUGAUAAUAGGUGAAUUAGACUAUUAUUAUGCCCUAAAGAACCACAGUUUUGUAUAGCUUUAUGGCAAAAAAAGUGAUAAUCAAAUGCUCCGAUUAGUGCUUUUCAUGCUUUGCAGGUUAUAUCCAAUAAAAGAAAUCGGUGGAGCACUUUUGGGAUCAAUUAUGGAAAAAAGGAGGCCAAUCAAACAAUACCCACGAAGUGCACCAAGUGAAGGGACAAAACCAAACUGAACCUGGCCAGCCAAUGUUAGACCGUAACCGCGGUAGGACCAUUCUGGCCGCGGUCCUGGCAUACCCGCUGUGGGACCGCAGUAGAACGCGAAAAUUUCAGGGACCAAAGUGUCAAGUUGGGAAAAUUUGGUUUAAAAACCCUUAUAAGAUGAAGAAAUUCGGCCACAUUAGGGCAGACUUAUUUUGGAGAUUACUUUUGCAAGAUACACAAGUGUGAGAGAUCAACCAAAAAUAUCACAGUUCUUUAUCUUUUCUUUUUCUUGCAAUUUUCCAUGAUGAAUAUUUUCCUAGUUUAUCUUUACGUUGUUAUGAGUAGCUAAAUACUUUAGCCUAAGGUUUUGAUGGACCUAUUGAAGGAUGAACUUAUUGAUUAUGUUAAUAUAUUUUGCCAGUUAAUCUCUAUUUGUUCAACUACGUGUUUGUUGUAGUUAAUUGACAGGAUCCUCAAUUAGUUGUGCCUAUUUAGCUGUAAUUAACAAAGUUAGCUAGCGUAUCUCGAAAGAGUGCUUCUAGUAAAUUAUCGUGAUUACUCGGGAGAGAUUUACGGUAAAAAGAGUGUUCAUGAUUGAUAAAGAUGUUAAGCGUAACCGGAAGGGAUUCCAUCAAUAAGGGAAAUCACUACCUUAGAACCUUCUCAUUAUUGUUUACAACUCAAGCAUAUUUAGUUUACAACUGUUUAUUACUUUCAAUAUUAGUUAUUAGAAAUACCAUCAAUAUUGUUUUCAAUGUUUGGGGAAGUUGAUUCUAAAUAAUUUAGUACGUUCAACAAAAGUGAUUGAUAGGUUAAUUCUCUGUGGAUUUAACUCUGGCAAUAAAUACUCAGGUUAUAUUUGUAACGUCUCUGUGUCUUUUUAUAAGACAUAGUUGGGCGUCAUCAAAAUUUUGGCGCCGUUGCCAGGGAAUUAACGGUGUUAUCAAUUACAAUUGAAAGAAGUAUAAAAAUUCUUAGUGUAGUCAGUUUUCUCUAUGCCCAAUUUUUGCAUUGAAAUUUUAGCGGUAUUUAACUUGGUUGCAGAGGUGUAUGCCUAGAAACUCAUCGAGAUCUGGUGAAGUAAUUGAAGCAAUAUCAGACCGAGAAAGUUUUCAAGGCUUUGAAUCGGGCCAAACGAAAAAACAAAAAACAACCACCAAUUGCACAAUUCGAAACAAUCACGGGAGACAACGAGGAAAACCCAGAAGUACCAAUAGUGCCAGAGGCUUCCCUCUAUGAUUGGGCACAACCCGCAGCUAAAACAAGAGACUAUUUUUGGGGUCACAAAUUGAAGAUCCUCAGCAGCACUUGAAGAAUUUUUUAUUUAUCUGCUAAACCCAAAGGCAACCUAACUUAACUCAGGAAGCAAUCAAGCUGUUGUUGUUUCCAUUCUCAGUGACAUGAGCUGUCCAGACCUGGCUGAACUCACUCCCCAUCAAUUCCAUAACAACUUGGGAGGAUUUGGUCAGGCAAUUUCAUUAUAAGUUCAACCCACCCAACAAGACUGCUCAACAAAUUGAUGACAUUUUGAGCUUUAAACAUAAACCAAUAGAGACACUGCAUGAGACAUGGGAGUGUUUUAAAGGAAUCUUAGUUAUAUGUCCGCGCCAUGGUAUUCUAGAUUUAUUGUUGGGGCAGCGGUUUUACAUGGGGUUGUCAGAUAGUGUGAAGAAUAUUGUUGAUGCUUCAGCUGGUGGAGCUUUCUUGAGCAAAACAUGAAGAGAUGGCCAGAGUCUGCUUGACAAGAUGGCACAGAAUUCGGGAUGGACAACCAGGAAUGCACCUAUUACUCCAGUGGUGCACUCAGUGCCUCUUGAUCCAUCCAAUUCUAUGGCUGAAAACAUGGCUACCUUAUUGACACAGUUGAGCAUACUUACCAAAAAGGUGGAAGAGUCAGGGCAAAAACAACAGGUAAAUAUUGUUGAUACUACUAAUGGGGGCUUGUGCACAUCUUGCAUUAGUCAGCCAGCUGGUAACCAGUAGAAUGUAGAACACGAUCAUCAUCACUACCCUGAAGACAUAAACUAUGUGUCUAAUUAUGGAGGCCAAAGACAGGGUGGCCAGAAUUGGGGUCAACAGAAUCAGGAGUACAGGCCAUCACAGCCACAGUUCAACACUAGGAACAUGGGAGGUAUGAGACCCCCCACAAUAUGGCUUCUUACCAAGACCACGGAGAGACAAUAAUCAGAAUAUGCAGCAGGGGUAUCACCCAUCGCAGCAACAGCAUGGUGGAAUGCAGGAAGAUGGGUUUGCUAGACUUGAAGCAAUGAUGCAACAAAUUAUUGGGUCUAAUGCAAAAAUUAAUGAGAGACGGGAUGCACAUGAUGGAGCAAUCAAGAAUAUUGAGGUGCAGGUGGGCCAAGUUUUGAUGUCUCUGAAAAAUCGUCCUCGUGAGACACUACCUGCAGACACCUAGAUAAAUCCAAAAGAUCAGGGCCCGAAACAACUGAUGGCGGUGAGCCUAUGAAAUGGUAGAGAUUUGGAUGUAGAACAAGAAAGGGCUCGAGAAGCUAGACAGGCUGAGACACUCAUACAAGUGCCAUUCGAGCUGGAUGAAUCAACAAAACUGACAGAGGUGAUAGUCAAGCUUGCUCAAGAAGAAAAAAUAUUCAGAAUGAGACCGAGAAAGAAGCCGCAAUAGUCCAGGAGCCAGUAGUUGAUUUAGGAGCUGAUAAAGAUCAGUCCUAAUUGAUUGGAGAAAAGAGACCUCCUGCACUCUUCCCUCAGAGGCUAGCCAAGUACAAAACGGAGGAGCAAUACAAGAAGUUCUUUGACAUGUUAAACCAAAUCCAGGUAAAUAUACCAUUGAUUGAAGCUUUGAAGGAGAUGCCUGGGUAUGCAAAAAUGAUGUAAGACUUGAUGUCCCGAGAGUUGGAUUUCCAAGACUUGGCCACAGUUACGCUUACUCAGACAUGUAGUGCAGUGGUGACUAGACCAAUUGCGAAAAAGCUGUAUAACCCAGGGAGCUUUACAAAUCCAUGCACUAUUGAUAAUUUUGCUUUUUCUAAGGCACUGUGUGAUCUAGGGGCCAACAUAAAUCUUAUUCCCCUGGCAAUUUAUAAGAGGUUGGGCAUUGGAAGAGCUAUAACCACCUCUAUGUUGUUGCAGCUGGCUGACAUGACUGUGAAACGUCCCUCUGGAAUCCUGGACGAUGUGAUGAUUCAGGUAGGGAAGUUUGUGUUCCCUACAAAUUUUGUGAUCCUAGACUGCAAAGUGGAUGAAGGGAUUCAAAUAAUUUUAGAAAGACCAUUCCUAGCCACGAGGAGAGCUCUAAUUAAUUGUGAGACUGGGGAGCUCAAGAUGAGACUGAAUUAUGAAGAAAUAACAUUCAAUGUGUAGAAAUCUAUAAGGCAACCAAGUGAAUUCGCCAAUUGAUCUCUUAUUAAUGUCGUGGAUGUAAUUGUAGAGACUGACGAUGAAAGGCUAACCAUUGAGGACCCCCUUAAUGCAUGUCUAAUGAAUUUGGAUGAGGUAAAUAGAGAGGAUCUAGCAGAAUGGGUGUUGGCGCUAGAGGGUAGAGGGUUCUAGGAUAGAACUCUAGAAUUUGAGCCCUUGCACUUGGAAAAUUGAGAAACUCCUCCAGCCAAGCCAUCAAUCAAAGAACCACCAGAGCUAGAGUUAAAUCCAUUGCCCGCCCAUCUCAGGUAUGAAUUUCUUGGACCUAAAUCCACAUUUCCUGUUAUUAUCUCAUCUAGUUUGUUAGAUGCACAGGCUCAACAACUGCUGCUGGUACUAAAGGAGUGCAAGACUGCCAUUGGGUGGACCAUGGCAGACAUAAAGGGGAUCAGCCCCGCCUACUGUAUGCAUAAAAUUCUACUGGAAGAGGGACACAAACCUUCCAGGGAACACAAAAGAAGGAUGAACAUGAAGGAAGUGGUGAAGAAAGAAAUAAUCAAAUGGUUAGAUGUGGAAAUCCUUUUAUUUACCCUAACCUAAACCCAACCCCCCACAACCGCCCAAACCUCACUUUCUGUUCAACUUCUCUCAUCUGUCUUCAUUCUUCUUCUUCUGCAACUCUUGUUUCUUCUUUCUUCUUCUUCUUCUCCAACUUUUAUCUCUUCCUUCUUCUUCUUCUUCAUAUAACCCAAAACCCCCAUUUAUUUUUAUUCCUUCUUCUUAUUCCCUUCCUCCAUCCAAACCCUACCUCUCCACAACCCCCCACCCCCCCCAAAAAANNNNNNNNNNNNNNNNNNNNNNNNNNNNNNNNNNNNNNNNCCUAUCCCCCUGACCCCUCCACAACCCCAACUUGUCCCCAAGACUCCACGGUAAUCUUCAAGUAAGUUGUCUAAUUUUUCUUGUGUUUUGUGUACUUUGCCUUAUGUAGUGAUUACUGUGUAGAAUUCUUGAUCUUGGGUGCAUGGGGUUUUAAACUCCAAGGUGGGUCUUGUAGAUUGUGUUUGGGGUUAAUUUGUGUAGAUGUGAGGGUGUGUGCCUAGUUGACAAUUUUUGUAUGGGGUGGGUGGUGGUAGCACUUAACUGUUAUUAAUUGGUGGGAGCUUGCAGGGGGUCUUAUAGGGCGGAAUUGUAUCAUUGAUAAGUGGUGUGGGGUUAAUAGCGGAUGUUGUCCACUCUGGCACCUUACUAGAUGGUUAUACUGGCCAUGCUUGACAAAAAGGAAACUGUUUGGUGCCAGCGGGUGGCGAAGUCUGAGUACCCAUCCGACUGGCCCAUGUUUGGCUGCCCCUGAUCAUCAUGAUGAAAUGAUUGUAGGUAGUAUGGCCUGAAAGAGGCGAGAGAACUCGGGAAGCACUUCUGAAGUGCCGACUUAUGAUAUCACCCGGUUCACGUCCGAGGAUGCACAUGAAAGGUUUCAUGCUAAAGCUACCAAAAGCUUUGUCCCUAAAAUUGCUAUUGACAGGGCUGCCCUCCGUGUAAAAAACUAGACAUGUACAAGGAAAUUCGCCAGAGGGGGGGAGUUUUUGUUCGAGGAACCUGAAAUAGCCAAUCCUAUGAUAGUCCAAGAGUUCUACGCAAACUGACCAGAAUUUUUGUCCCGUUCUGUGAUUGUGCAGGGCAAAGUGGUAGAUGCCUCAGUAUUGAAGAUUCGCGAGGUCUUGCAACUGCCUCCGUUCACUAGUGAAGCUGAUUAUUACCAUAAUUCUCCAGGGAUAUUAGGACCCUUAGGACUCUUUUGGACUAAGGUGGGUGAGGGCAAGAAUGCAUCCCGUGGUGUGCAUACCUGCAAAUACUUAAAACGAACUUGAGGGUGCGACGUCUAGGCCCACGUGUAGACUCUUAAUCUUAUGCCUUAAUUUUGCACACCUUGUCUUACUUGAACUCUCACGUGAAUGUGUUAACAAACUAAUUCGGAAUGAGUUUCAUGCCAAGUGUGUGUAAGGUAAUACACGCAUUCUAUGCUUGCAUGCAGUACCUAGAACAUGCCCCAUGUAUGUGCAAAGAGAAAUGGAAAUUGUUUGGUCUUAGAGAUGAUUUAGGCAUUUCUUUGUGUCGUCCAUAUAAUCAUGAAUCCACAUGUACAUAUUACCAUAGUUAACCUCUUUAAACCUAUAAUCCUUUUUCUUUGGCAACCACAUUACAAGCCUUACCCAUUUAUUGAAUUAACCAUGUAUUUAAACCUUUUUCACCUCUCAUGAGCACUUGAAUUGUUAUGAACCUUGUAAAAGUUAAAGUGUGGGGUGGUCGGUUUGGUUUUUGAGUGGAACUAGUUGAAUAAGGAGAGAGGUGCACUAUUUUGAAAAAGGAAUAGCCACUUGAAAAAAAAAUAGAAACUCCUCGAUAAGUGGUGGCUCUUGAUGCAAGUGUGCUUAAAGAAGAAUGGGGUAGUUACAUUGAUGUGAAGAUGGAAUUUUGGGGUGACAUAAGGAUGAGGUUUAACUGAGAAAAUGUAUAUAUUAAAAAUCUUAGGAGGUGUAGUCACUCUUAUAUUUAAAUGCAUCCUACUAGCCAUGCAGCCUACAUUACAACCAAAUGAAGCCCUAUUGAUCUUAGACUGAACAAUUCGAUUAGUAUAAUAUUACACUAAGGGCAAGCUUAUGGUGUAUCUGUGUGGCAUAUGAAUGUUCUUUGCUGCGUGUGAGUGAAUUCGUUAUAUCUAUAGUUCCUUGUUGUUUGAUUUCAUGUGUGUGGAACUUCAAACUCUAAAACAAAUUGUGAUGUGAGGGUAUUUAACUCAAGAAGAAAAAAGCAAGUCUUCACUUCUGUUUAGAGUACAUAGAGUAAACAUGAGUGUAGCAUGGCAUUAGAGUAUUAAUCUGAGGUGUUGUAGUUGCAUUGCUUAGGUUGUUCUUUCAUAAUAGCAGGUGUGACAUAAAAAGGGUAAUGCAUCAAAUGAAAAGGCCUAGAAGUGUGGUUCAACUUGCUCGAGGACAAGCAAAGAUUUAAGUGUGGGGUCUUGAUAAAAGGUGAAUUAGACUAUAAUUAUGCCCUAAAGAACCAUAGUUUUGUAUAGCUUUAUGGCAAAAAAAGUGAUAACCAAAUGUUUUGAUUAGUGCUUUUCAUGCUUUGUAGGCUAUAUCCAAUAAAAGAAGUUGGUGGAGCACUUUUGGGAUCAAUUACGGAGAAAAGGAGGCCAAUCAAACAAUACCCACGAAGUGCACCAAGUUAAUGGACAAAAACAAACUGAAUCUGGCCUGACCGUUGUCAGACCGUAACCGUGGUAGGACAGCGGUAGAACAUUACCAAUGACUCAGAGGACCAUUGUGGCCGCGGUCCUGGCAUAACUAUGGUGGGACCGCGACAGAACGCGAAAACUUCAAGGACCAAAGUGUCAAGUCGAAAAAAUUUGGUGAAAACCCUUAUAAGAUGUAGAAAUUUUGCCACAUUAGGGCACACUUGUUUUGGAGAUUACUUUUGCAAGAUACACAAGUGUCAGAGAUCACCCAAAAAUAUCAUAGUUCUAUAUUUCUUCUUUUUCUUGCAAUUUUCCAUGAUGAAUAUUUUCAUAGAUUAUCUUUACGUUGUUAUGAGUAGCUAAAUACUUUAGUCUUAGGUUUUGAAGGAUGAACUUCUUGAUUAUGUUAAUAUUAUUUUCCAGUUAAUCUCUAUUUGUUCAACUACGUGUUUGGUGUAGUUAAUUGACAAGAUCCUCAAUUAGCUGUGCCUAUUUAGUGUGCAUAACUCGGAAGAGAGUGCAUAUUUAGGUAAUUGUUUAACAACACCACUCCCAAAGUAUAAGAGGGAUCUAUAACUGCGGGUUGAAAGGCGGCAUUAGGGAUGACGAAGCCUUGGGUAAAAUCUAAAGUGAGCUGUAAUAAACAAAGUUAGGUAGCACAUCUCGGGAGAGUGUGCCUAGUAAAUUAUCGUGAUUACUCGGGAGAGAUUUACGGUAUGAUUGAUAGAAAUGUUUUGGUGAAUCUAUGUGAGGCGUGACCGGAAGAGAUUCUAUCAAUAGGGAAAAUCACUACCUUAGAACCUUCUCAUUAUUCUUACAACUCAAGCAUAUUUAGUUUAUAGAUGUUUAUUUACUUUCAAUAUUAGUUAUCAGAAAUACCAUCACUAUUGUUUUCAACAUUUGGGGAAGUUGAUUCUAAAGAAUUUAGUACGUCCAAUAAAAAUUAUUGAUAGGUUAGUUCUCUAUGGAUCGACUCUGGCAAUAAAUACUGAGGUUAUAUUUGCAACGUUCACGUGUCCUUUUACAAGGCAUAGUUGGGCGUGAUCGUUCCUAUAAGGGCUUGAGACAUCAAGAUUACAUUGGUCAAGAACAAGUUAGGAAGAACAGACCUGAGACAAUUUUUUCCAAAUGCAAUCCGAAAAUGCUUAACUACGGAAAACUCAUACAGCAACGACAACCUUGACGAAACUCCAACCGUGCUACUGACGACACCUCGGAUUCGAUCGAACUCCAACCACCCUCAAAUUUGAUCGAAUUCCAAAAUUUGAAAAAUCGGAAAUCGGAAGAAUGAGCUAAACCAUUAUUGCUAUCAUGACCGGCGACUAUGCACACACUGAAACGCUUUUGAUUUCUAUAGAGAGGAGCUUCAUUUUGGUGGUGGACGGCUCAGCUAGCUCUUUUUUUACAGGGGUCUGUAUGAUCUCUUGGUGAUUGAGAGGGAAAAGUCUUAGGAUUUUUAGGUUGUGAAUGAGAAGAUGAAAAUUGUCGUUGGUGGAUGUGUUUCCGGCGAUGGAGAGGGGUUAGCAGGUUUUGGUGUUGCCUUUGAAGGAGAGGAUCAAAGGUUUUGGGUGUUUCCUCGAUUUUUCGUUCAAUGGUGAAAGGGGUCGGUAUUGAAGAAGAAAGCUGGAUGGACGGGGUCUGAUUUUUGUAUCCUUUACCCAGCCCUCUCCGACGUCUCACUUAGUGUGUACCUCCUUACGCGAUAUAUUUCUGUGUCUAGCUCUUAAGAUUGGG
This 8768-nucleotide long non-coding RNA is filed under the name Nicotiana benthamiana. RNAcentral describes it as "long non-coding RNA (NBEN_LNC032229)". Lineage: Eukaryota; Viridiplantae; Streptophyta; Magnoliopsida; Solanales; Solanaceae. The record is from RNAcentral.